AAAAAAUGGUAAAUAUAAAAGCUACUACUCAUUGCUCAUAAUAAUUCAAGUAAACCGAAUAAAUGGUAACACAAAGCUACCAUCUUUCUUUAUUGUCCCUACUAAUUCAAUUUUAUUUCUGUAAUAUAUAAGCUCUCAUGGUACUACAGGCAUCGUUUCAACAAUCUAGCAAAGCAGAAACAGCACACUAGCUGCCUGACAUUUUCAUUGUUCAUAGUAACUCGAAUUUAGUUCUAAAUAAUGAAGUUUCAAGAUUCAUCACAAUUUGAGGCAGCUUUUUCGUUCUAGCAAUCAAAACAACACACUAGCUGAACAGGCAUGAUAUGGUUACUUAAUUAGGAGGACCCAGUUUUUGCAGCUCUGAAUUUGGCUGCAAGAGACUUUCCAAACUCAACAAGCUUAUCAAUUUCUGGCAUGACAUCCUUCACAGCAGGAUGAGAAGAGAAGGUGUCAGCCCAUUUUGCAAGACCUGGAGUUUUUGCUUCAUCUAGCAGCUUCACUUCACUCAUCUUCUCUGAGGCUCUUAACCACCCCAAGUAGCAACCAAAUGCUAUGUCAAGGUACCCAAUUUGGUCUCCUCCAAAGAAAGUUUUCCCUUUGCUAAUCUUCACAAAUGCAUCCUCCAGCAGGUCAAGCCCUUCAACUAUUGUCCCUAUAACCUGAUCUUUUGCCUCUCCUUCAGCAGUUAAAAGGAUUCUCAAAUUUGGAAACCACUUCUCAUCGACAUAGGUGCCCCAAAAUUUUGCAAUAGCACGAUCAUAUGGAUCAGAGGGAAGAAUAGAUGGACCAGAAGACCAAGUCUCAUCAAUGUACUCUACAAUGAUGAGAGACUCACAAAUAGGCUUGCCCUUGUGAAUGAGAACAGGGAUUUUCUUGUGGACAGGAUUAGAUUCAAGAAGGAGCUGGCUUUUUGAUCCAAGAGUUUCCUGAAGAAACUCAUAGUCAACAGAUUUGAUGUUAAGGGCAAUUCUUGGCCUCAUAACAUAUGGGCUAGGCCAUGCUCCUAGAAGCUUGAGCUCAGUCCUAGCCAUGGCUGUACUGUGAAAAGCUUUUAGGGAAGCAGAUGGGUUAAAUAGGCAUGGAAGGGGAGGUUGGAAUAGCGUGUGAAAAAGGUGGUAGGUGUUUAAUGUGAAACAAGAUGGUGUACUCGUGGAAUUGGAAGAGCAGUUGGCUUCUUCUAUGAGAAUUCAUCCCACAAGUUCUGGGCAUUUAUGCGCAAGUCAUUGAAGUGUUUUCUGUAGAACGAAUGAUCUUG
RNAcentral lists this unclassified non-coding RNA (1255 nucleotides) under Hevea brasiliensis (rubber tree). The record is from RNAcentral. Lineage: Eukaryota; Viridiplantae; Streptophyta; Magnoliopsida; Malpighiales; Euphorbiaceae.